Molecule: long non-coding RNA, 2967 nt
Organism: Peromyscus eremicus (cactus mouse)
Lineage: Eukaryota; Metazoa; Chordata; Mammalia; Rodentia; Cricetidae
Exons: 2
Source: RefSeq, a predicted model, not a curated record
CCCAAACUAACCUUGAACUCCCUAGGUAGACAUAGCCAAGGACAAUCUUGGGCCUCUACCUCCCAAUUAGCUGUUUUUUUUUUUCUUUAAGACAGAGUCUCACUACGUGGCCCUGGCUGGCCUGGAACUCAGAGAUCUUCCUGCUUCUGCCUCCCUCUGCUGGGAUUAAGUGGGUCCCCUUUUGGGACCACCACUAUUUUUUUUUACAAAGUUUGCUUCGUUUGUCCUAGACAACCACUUUACCAAUGGAACCCGAGCCCUUUCUCCCUUUUUAAAAAAGAUAUAUUUAUUUUUAUUUUAUGUAUGUGUGUGAGUGCAUGUAUGAAACUAUGCACAUUGGAUCUCCUGGACCUGGAGUUACAGGUGAGUGUGAACCACCUGGUAAUGGGUGGUGGAAACUGAACACAGGCCCUCUGCAGGAGCAAUAAGUACUCUUAGUCACACGGUCACCUCUCCAGGUGAUUUCUCUCUUCCUUGAUAAGGUUUUGAUGUGUAGCCCUGGCAGGCCUUUAGUUAACACUCUGCCUCCUGUCUCCAGAGUGUUGAGAUUAUAGGCCUACACUACCAAAUCUGUAGUGUAUUUUUGUUGUUGUUGGUAGUGGUGGUGGUGUAGAUAAAUGUGUAGAUGAUGCACCCGUAUCUUCAUUAUUUCUUUGGAAGACAGUGGACACCCUCAGGGGUCCAGGCCUCAAGUAUCAUCUACCAUGUUGUACUUCUUCAUUUGGAUAAGUAUAUAUGUGAUAAAUGCCUUGGCAUGUAGGUAGAGGUCAGAGGACAACUUGCAGGAAUCUAGAGGAUCAAACUCAGGCUGUCAGACACGGCAGCAAGCACCCUUAUCCACGGAGCCAUUUUGUCACCCCAUCUUGUUUUUAGGGGCAUAGUUUCUCACCGGGCUUGGCGUGCACUAAAUCAGCUGGUCAGGGAUCACUGGUGACCCUCCUGCCUCUGCCUCCUCAGAACUAGGGUUACAAGGGCUCCUGUAACCAGCCGAGAGGAGAGGGGCAGGGGAGACUCCCAAGGGACCAGUUUCACACUGGAAAGACGAACUACAGGUGACACAACUCAGAGAUGCCGGUCUCUCUAUUGGCCUGACCUCAAUCUCUUACACAUGAUGGAGUUUGGGAAGCAUGCCAUCAAUCACACUGCAAAACUCAGGAGGGAAUUCUGCUGUGUCAACCCUUGGAAGCAGUUCCUUCUCCGUGUUUGCUCAAGGCAUCGAUUCCUUCAGGACUAUCAUGUAUAAUUGAUGGGGACCCACUUAUUUGUAUCUAGGUCUUGUCUUCCAGAUUAUUAAAGACUUGAAGGCAGGUAUUACUCAACUUUGAGUAUGGCACAGUGUCUCAAAUAUAAGUAAAUGCGUGUUUCGUAAAGGAAGAGAGUGGGAUAGGGAGAUGCCUCGGUCAGCAACUUGUCUUGAAAGCAUGAGGACCCGAGUUCAGUCUCCAGAACUCACAUAAAAAGCUGGCUACACAGGACCCUGAAUCCUGCCGUGGGCACCCCCUUCAUCCUCAUCUGGCCCCCAUCUCCAAAGCAUCCUUCAACCCUUGCAGGAAUCUUCACAUCCAUCUUCCAGUGUCCAGACCUUCUCCAUCUUUAAAGCCAAACACAUCUUCUUGUGUCCUUGCUGCUGGGAGAGAGGAAGUGGUGACUGAGGCCAUUCCAAGGUGUUUCAGCAAGUCUGGGAGGGGUUUUGUUGUUUGUCUCUUUUUAAGACAGUCUCAUGUGUGUAUAAAGUGAGGACAUGACCCCUCGAAGGCAUGGUUGAAAGGAAGGUCUUUACUGUGGAUAUGAGGGAGAGGACACCCCGAGGCAUCUGGAAGAGUCCAGAGCAGAGAGAGGAAGUAGACUGAACAUGGCCAUGAGAGGAGGCAGGAGUGGGAGGAAGAAGGAGGGGCAAGAGGGGCAGAGAGAGAAGAGCUGGGAUGCCAGCAUGGACUCUGUAACAGAUGUUUGCAAUGCUGAGCGAACCUGGAGGCCAGCAUGUGCAUUGGUAUGCUAAUAGGUACCACAGUUAGCCAUUUGUCUCGAGUUUCUUGUGGACCUGACAAUACAUAGCCCUGGCUGGCCUGGAAUUUGCUAUGUAGAUCCAGCUAGCCAUGACUCUGUCUUCUGAGUACUUGAACUUAAAGGCAUGUACUACCACAACAGGCUUCUUCAAAGGUUCUUAACACUGUCCAAUCAUGGACAUUUUCUCUCUGGGUCCUCAGAAUGCCCAAUUUGACGGACGUCAGUUAUCCCCCAUUUACCAGGGUCUGCUGAGCUCUGAUAUUCUGUGAGUUCAAAAGCUAGCAAAAGGAAGCUGAGCAGCCCCAUUGUUGCCGGGCUCUUUUCUGCUGAGCUAUUUGUUCCAAGUUCCAUUCUGCUCCCUCGGCUGGACAUUCCACCAGUGCUCAGCUCACAAGAAUGCAGCACACCCUGGCCAGACAGCCCGGCAGGAAACAGGGUGGCCUGGAUCCUUCUUUCUAACAUCUGUGAGGCGACUACCCCUGAGCAGUCUCCUUUUCCAACUGGCCUUAUGGGUCUCCUCUUGGGGGUGGAAGUGGGGAAGGUUGUCCAUAUAUUCUGCUGGGAUCAUCCCACUGGAGCAUGGUUGAACUACCAGGAGCCACACCCUUAAAGGAAAUUGACUCUUCUCCUGGAAGCCAUCAACUGUGCACAGCUCCUCAGUUAGGGGUGGGCUCAUGAAUCCCCUCCCCUCCAUGCUAAAUGUUGACCAGCUUGAUCAGCGGACUGUCAGAAUGCCAGGGUUGGGAUGGGCGACUGACUGAAUUCAUAGUCUUGGCUUAUUUUUUGUUUUUUGACCCUGUAGCCAGAAUGGUCUGGAACUCACUAUUAACCCAGUCUGGCCUCAAACUCACAGUUAUCCUACUGCCUCAGCUUCUUGUGGUCUGAAUGUUCAGAUCUGUAGGCAUGAGUCGCCACACCUAGUUCCUCACUGCUUUAAAUAAAAAGCUUAUUAGCAAACUA